UACGUAGGUGGCAAGCGUUGUCCGGAUUUACUGGGCGUAAAGAGUGCGCAGGCGGUCGUUCAAGUCGCGUGUGAAAGCCCCCGGCUCAACUGGGGAGGGUCACGCGAUACUGAUCGACUCGAAGGCAGGAGAGGGUAGUGGAAUUCCCGGUGUAGUGGUGAAAUGCGUAGAUAUCGGGAGGAACAUCAGUGGCGAAGGCGGCUACCUGGCCCAAUACUGACACUCAGGUGCGACAGCGUGGGGAGCAAACAGG
This 253-nucleotide ribosomal RNA is filed under the name uncultured bacterium. Its description in RNAcentral is "partial 16S ribosomal RNA". It matches the Rfam family "Bacterial small subunit ribosomal RNA", at positions 524 to 776 of the family's 1533-position model. The record is from RNAcentral.